Grammomys surdaster is the source of this 454-nucleotide long non-coding RNA. RefSeq lists it as uncharacterized. NCBI's taxonomy places the organism in Eukaryota, Metazoa, Chordata, Mammalia, Rodentia, Muridae. The transcript is spliced from 2 exons. The record is from RefSeq and is a predicted model, not a curated record.
CUUGUCACCUUUGCCAGGUGUCUGUGGCACCUCUGUGGUGCUAGUCAUCACUCUGCAGAGGUGGGAUUGUCACUUCCAAACAAGCAAACACCAGUUCAGCCUGAAGAAGCAGAGACACUGUCUAAAAGAAGAAAGAGAAGAAGGAAGAUCAGAGGGGAUGAGGAAAAAGAAGAGAAGGAAAAAGAGGAGAAAAGGAGAGAGCAAAAAGAAAUGAAGAAAACAUACCAACUCUUAGCUGCUUCUAACCACUCUGGCUUUUGGGGGGGCCUGGGAGAGGGCUUGAGACGGGGUCUCUCUAUGGAGUCCUGGCUGGCUUCAAACUCACAGAGAUCCACCUGCCUCUGCCUCCUGAGUGCUGAGAUUAGAGCUAUGCAUCACCGUGUCUAGCAGCCAUCAGAUUGGAGGUGGGGCAGGGGUCUUCAUUGCAUAUUCAUAAGUAAAAAGAAAGGCUGUG